GGGGAUCUAGCUCAGCGGUAGAGCGCUUGCCUAGCAAGCGCAAGGCCCUGGGUUCGGUCCCCAGCUCCA
Molecule: non-coding RNA, 69 nt
Organism: Rattus norvegicus (Norway rat)
Lineage: Eukaryota; Metazoa; Chordata; Mammalia; Rodentia; Muridae
Source: Rfam